This 429-nucleotide ribosomal RNA is filed under the name uncultured bacterium. Its description in RNAcentral is "bacterial SSU rRNA". It matches the Rfam family "Bacterial small subunit ribosomal RNA", at positions 355 to 775 of the family's 1533-position model. The record is from RNAcentral.
UGGGGAAUAUUGGGCAAUGGGCGAAAGCCUGACCCAGCGACGCCGCGUGGGUGAUGAAGGCCUUCGGGUUGUAAAACCCUUUCGUGCGGAAAGAAUAGUCUCGUAGCGAAUAACUACGGGAUUUGACGGUACCGCAGGAAGAAGCACCGGCUAACUCCGUGCCAGCAGCCGCGGUAAUACGGAGGGUGCAAGCGUUGUUCGGAAUUAUUGGGCGUAAAGGGCGCGUAGGUGGCUGUGAUAGUCAGAUGUGAAAUCCUUCGGCUCAACCGAAGAACUGCAUCUGAAACUUCAUAGCUCGAGUACAGGAGAGGGAAACGGAACUCCCGGUGUAGAGGUGAAAUUCGUAGAUAUCGUGAGGAACACCAGUGGCGAAGGCGGUUUCCUGGCCUGAUACUGACGCUGAGGCGCGAAAGCGUGGGGAGCAAACAG